This 636-nucleotide ribosomal RNA is filed under the name Burkholderia cepacia. RNAcentral's name for it is "bacterial SSU rRNA". It matches the Rfam family "Bacterial small subunit ribosomal RNA", at positions 455 to 1074 of the family's 1533-position model. Lineage: Bacteria; Pseudomonadati; Pseudomonadota; Betaproteobacteria; Burkholderiales; Burkholderiaceae. The record is from RNAcentral.
UAAUACAGGCCGGGGGGAUGACCGUUACCGGAAAGAAUAAGCACCGGCUUAACUACGUGCCCAGCAGCCUCCGUUAAUACGUAGGGGUGCAAGCGUUAAUUCGGAAUUACUGGGCGUAAAGCGUGCGCCAGUCGGUUUUGCUAAGAACCGAAGGGAAAUCCCCCGGGCUCAACCUGGGAACUGCAUUGGUGACUGGCAGGCUAGAGUAUGGCAGAGGGGGGGUAGAAUUCCACGUGUAGCAGUGAAAUGCGUAGAGAUGUGGAGGAAUACCGAUGGCGAAGGCAGCCCCCUGGGGCAAUACUGACGCUCAUGCACGAAAGCGUGGGGAGCAAACAGGAUUAGAUACCCUGGUAGUUCACGCCCUAAACGAUGUCAACUAGUUGUUGGGGAUUCAUUUCCUUAGUAACGUAGCUAACGCGUGAAGUUGACCGCCUGGGGAGUACGGUCGCAAGAUUAAAAAUCAAAGGAAUUGACGGGGACCCGCACAAGCGGUGGAUGAUGUGGAUUAAUUCGAUGCAACGCGAAAAACCUUACCUACCCUUGACAUGGUUGGAAUCCUGCUGAGAGGUGGGAGUGCUCGAAAGAGAACCGGCGCACAGGUGCUGCAUGGCUGUUGUCAGCUCGUGUCGUGAGAUG